This 8797-nucleotide long non-coding RNA is filed under the name Eucalyptus grandis. RNAcentral describes it as "long non-coding RNA (EGRA_LNC002575)". The record is from RNAcentral. Lineage: Eukaryota; Viridiplantae; Streptophyta; Magnoliopsida; Myrtales; Myrtaceae.
ACGAAGGCGGACGCAGCCAGCAAUAAACACAGAUCCUGGAAAUCGCCCCCGGCUUCUCCUCAAGCUUCCAUCUGUUGCGUCGGCAUCAUCAGUAGAUCCGACGGACUGCUGCUUCGGGAUCGGUCCAGGUACCGUACCUUCUCUGUCGUCGUCACGGUUCCGGUUGCCAGAAGCCCGAUCAUCGUCCCCAUUUCUUCUUGAAAAUCGUCUGUUUCGCUGUGAAAAUUGACCUGUACUCUCAAUUUCGUGCUCCAGAGACGGAGGAGCUGUGGGGGAGAUGCAGGCCAAGAAUCCCAGGGAAGCAACGAUUCGGCAGGGAAAGUGUACGGAAAGGUGAGGUUUUCGAGAGCUGUCGUUGGGAUUAACAUAUCCUUCAUCUUUUGCGAUUGUUCCGGAUUAUUAUAUCAGCAGCCUCCGUGGGGCGACUCGCCUCUCUCUCUCUCUCUCCUCCUCCUCCUCCUCCUCCCUCCGUCUCUCCCUCUCUCAAAAGUCAUGAGCCUCUGUUUUCGAUCGUCUCGACUCGUUAACUUUCUGAGAAACUGUUGGCUCUUUUCCUCAACUCGUUAUCAUAUUGAGUCGGAUCUUCUUCGUCUCCCAAAUCUGUACUGGUCAAUGAUAUGUCCCUUUGUUCCAAACACAUCGAGGCCACCGAGGAACUUCUCCUUUUCACGCGCUCCUCUCAUGCUCGCCACACGAUACGCCUGCGCACACACUCAGUUUUUUACUUGCUAGUCUGUCACACCACUUGUGAACAUCUGAGUUUAGUAGUCGCAAAAGAUUGAUAUUUACUCAAAAUGUAACUGGGUUUUAAUUUCCUCAAACUUUUGCAGAAGUUGGUGGUGAAAGUGGAACUACAUGAUGGCAGCCAAGAAAGAUGAUGGCAAGAAAAAAGAGGGAAAGAAGAACGAAGAUCAAGUCAACAAUCAGGUAAAAGCCUCUCAAGCAUACUAUCCUGGACAGCCCAGUGCUCUUCGGCACCUUGAUCUCCUUUUCUCACUCCUCCACUUCCAACCUACCCGAUGAUCAUUCUCCUAUCAAUCCUAAAUGUGCGAAAAAGAUUGACUAGCCCCUGACAUAAAUUUGGAAUCUCCGUUGAUUUUGUCGCCUAUACAAACGGAUCUCCAGUUUCCAGAAGUAGCGUUCGUCGGUUUAAGGAAAGUAGCUUGUGUUCAUAACGAUUAUCAAUCAGAAGCUUUCUUGCAAAACUUUCCUUAAGAUUGGCAAUUUAAUCAUCACUUUCUAUAUUUGAAAUCCUAGACAGAUUACUAGUUGUGUUGUUCAAAAUAGUGGCGCUUGCUUCUGAAUGUUUAUGUGGGCGUUGAUCUUCAGAUUCUGAUGUUGUUCCACUGUAGUGGACUCUGUAAAUAUUUCAAGGUUUUGACGAUCUCCGCGUAUAAGAUUUGCCGAUUUCCAUAUGGUCAAUAUCCAUGAUGUUGUUGAGAUGCNNNNNNNNNNNNNNNNNNNNNNNNNNNNNNNNNNNNNNNNNNNNNNNNNNNNNNNNNNNNNNNNNNNNNNNNNNNNNNNNNNNNNNNNNNNNNNNNNNNNCAGUUGAUUGAAUCUGAAACCACUUCUCUCAUGAGUAGUUCUGUAAAAAGAUACUGUUAUGCACGUAUCAGAUUCAAGACGAACCAAAGAAGAUUUUAUCAAUUUUCAAAAUUUUAUUAAUAGGUUUUCUCAAUAGUAAUUGUUAAUCGUAUAGCAUGAUGGUCUCUACUCGUGUGAAUAAUAAUUGUAGGAAUAUCAAAUGAUGCUUCAAAUUCUUAUUCAUUAUUGCUUACAUAUGGCCAAGUUGUUUAAACGCUAGUCUCUCACACCACAUCUGAUCAUCUGAGUUCAGUAGUCAUAAAAGAUUGAUAUUUACUCGAAAUCUAACUGGGUUUUGCUUUCCUCAAACUUUUGCAUAAGUUGGUGGUGAAAGUGGAUCUAGGUGAUGAGGAAGACAGGACAAAGGCCAAGCGAGUAGUUUGGCAUAUUGCAGGUAUUGGCCCUCUCCCUGUCUGUUUUUUCCCUUCAUUCUCCCACUGAAUGUUUAAAUCGUCACUGUGAUAGUAAUCAUCCUGUGCUCGAAAUGUUGGGCUUCGCUAACCUUUGUCACGUAAUGCUUUCCAGGAUUUGAGCGUCUGACUGUGGACAAAAAGCACAGUAAACUAACAGUAUCUGGCACUAUCGACCCGGUCAAGGUGGUGAACAAACUGACGAAACUGCACGCAGAAAUGGUGAGCUUCGGAGCAGCCAAGGAAGACGAUGGCAAGAAAGAAGGGGGAAAGAAGAACGAAGAUCAAGUCGCCAGUCAGGUAAAAGCCUCUCAAGCAUACUAUCCUGGACAGGCCAGUGCUCUUCGGCUCCUUGAUCUCCUUUUUUCACUCCUACUCUUCGAACCUACCCGAUGAUCAUUCUCCAAUCAAUCCUAAAUGUGCAAAAAAGAUUGACUAUUCCCGAAGAUAAAUUUGGAAUCUCCGUUGAUUUUGUCGCCUAUACAAACGGAUCUCCAGUUUCCAGAAGUAGCGUUCUUCGGUUUAAGGAAAGUAGCUUGUGUUCAUAACGAUUAUCAAUCAGAAGCUUUCUUGCAAAACUGUCCUUAAGAUUGGCAAUUUAAUCAUCACUUUCUAUAUUUCAAAUCCUAGACAGAUUACUAGUUGCGUUGUUCAAAAUAGUGUCGCUUGCAUCUGAAUGUUUAUGUGGGCGUUGAUCUUCGGAUUCUGAUGUUGUUUCACUGUAGUGGACUCUGUAAAUAUUUCAAGGUUUUGAAUAUCUCCACGUAUGAGAUUUGCCGAUAUCCAUAUGGUCAAUAUCCAUGAUGUUGUUGAGAUGCUAUCCAAAGAUAUUUGAACAACAACAGAAGGGUUCUGAAAAAUGUCAAGAUAUUCUCUUCUCUUCAUGGUCUCUAUAUUCAAAGAGCAGUUGAUUGAAUCUGAAACAACUUCUCUUCAUGAGUAGUUCCUGUAAAAAGAUACUGUUAUGCACGUAUCAGAUUCAAGACGAACCAAAGAAGAUUUUAUCAAUUUCAAAAUUUUAUUAAUAGGUUUUCUCAAUAGUAAUUGUUAAUCGUAUAGCAUGAUGGUCUCUACUCGUGUGAAUAAUAAUUGUAGGAAUAUCAAAUGAUGCUUCAAAUUCUUAUUCAUUAUUGAUUACAUAUGGCCAAGUUGUUUAAACGCUAGUCUGUCACACCACAUCUGAUCGUCUGAGUUCAGUAGUCAUAAAAGAUUGAUAUUUACUCGAAAUCUAACUGGGUUUUGCUUUCCUCAAACUUUUGCAGAAGUUGGUGGUGAAAAUGGAUAUAGGUGAUGAGGAAGCCAAGACAAAGGCCAAGCGAGUAGUUUGGCAUAUUGCAGGUAUUGGCCCUCUCCCUGUCUGUUUUUUCCCUUCAUUCUCCCACUGAAUGUUUAAAUCGUCACUGUGAUAGUAAUCAUCCUGUGCUCGAAAUGUUUGGCUUCGCUAACCUUUGUCACGUAAUGCUUUCCAGGAUUUGAGCGUCUGACUGUGGACACAGAGCUCAAUAAACUAACAGUAUCUGGCACUAUGGACCCGGUCAAGGUGGUGAACAAACUGACGAAACUGCACGCAGAAAUGGUGAGCUUCGGAGCAGCCAAGGAAGACGAUGGCAAGAAAGAAGGGGGAAAGAAGAACGAAGAUCAAGUCACCAGUCAGGUAAAAGCCUCUCAAGCAUACUAUCCUGGACAGGCCAGUGCUCUUCGGCUCCUUGAUCUCCUUUUUUCACUCCUACACUUCGAACCUACCCGAUGAUCAUUCUCCAAUCAAUCCUAAAUGUGCAAAAAAGAUUGACUAUUCCCGAAGAUAAAUUUGGAAUCUCCGUUGAUUUUGUCGCCUAUACAAACGGAUCUCCAGUUUCCAGAAGUAGCGUUCUUCGGUUUAAGGAAAGUAGCUUGUGUUCAUAACGAUUAUCAAUCAGAAGCUUUCUUGCAAAACUGUCCUUAAGAUUGGCAAUUUAAUCAUCACUUUCUAUAUUUCANNNNNNNNNNNNNNNNNNNNNNNNNNNNNNNNNNNNNNNNNNNNNNNNNNNNNNNNNNNNNNNNNNNNNNNNNNNNNNNNNNNNNNNNNNNNNNNNNNNNNNNNNNNNNNNNNNNNNNNNNNNNNNNNNNNNNNNNNNNNNNNNNNNAGAUUUGCCCCAUCCAAUGCAAUAUCCAUGAUGUUGUUGAGAUGCUAUCCAAAGAUAUUUGAACAACAACAGAAGGGUUCUGAAAAAUGUCAAGAUAUUCUCUUCUCUUCAUGGUCUCUAUAUUCAAAGAGCAGUUGAUUGAAUCUGAAACAACUUCUCUUCAUGAGUAGUUCCUGUAAAAAGAUACUGUUAUGCACGUAUCAGAUUCAAGACGAACCAAAGAAGAUUUUAUCAAUUUCAAAAUUUUAUUAAUAGGUUUUCUCAAUAGUAAUUGUUAAUCGUAUAGCAUGAUGGUCUCUACUCGUGUGAAUAAUAAUUGUAGGAAUAUCAAAUGAUGCUUCAAAUUCUUAUUCAUUAUUGAUUACAUAUGGCCAAGUUGUUUAAACGCUAGUCUGUCACACCACAUCUGAUCGUCUGAGUUCAGUAGUCAUAAAAGAUUGAUAUUUACUCGAAAUCUAACUGGGUUUUGCUUUCCUCAAACUUUUGCAUAAGUUGGUGGUGAAAGUGGAUCUAGGUGAUGAGGAAGACAGGACAAAGGCCAAGCGAGUAGUUUGGCAUAUUGCAGGUAUUGGCCCUCUCCCUGUCUGUUUUUUCCCUUCAUUCUCCCACUGAAUGUUUAAAUCGUCACUGUGAUAGUAAUCAUCAUGUGCUCGAAAUGUUGGGCUUCGCUAACCUUUGUCACGUAAUGCUUUCCAGGAUUUGAGCGUCUGACUGUGGACAAAAAGCACAGUAAACUAACAGUAUCUGGCACUAUGGACCCGGUCAAGGUGGUGAACAAACUGACGAAACUGCACGCAGAAAUGGUGAGCUUCGGAGCAGCCAAAGAAGACGAUGGCAAGAAAGAAGGGGGAAAGAAGAACGAAGAUCAAGUCGCCAGUCAGGUAAAAGCCUCUCAAGCAUACUAUCCUGGACAGGCCAGUGCUCUUCGGCUCCUUGAUCUCCUUUUUUCACUCCUACUCUUCGAACCUACCCGAUGAUCAUUCUCCAAUCAAUCCUAAAUGUACAAAAAAGAUUGACUAUUCCCGAAGAUAAAUUUGGAAUCUCCGUUGAUUUUGUCGCCUAUACAAACGGAUCUCCAGUUUCCAGAAGUAACGUUCUUCAAUUUAAGGAAAGUAGCUUGUGUUCAUAACGAUUAUCAAUCAGAAGCUUUCUUGCAAAACUGUCCUUAAGAUUGGCAAUUUAAUCAUCACUUUCUAUAUUUGAAAUCCUAGACAGAUUACUAGUUGUGUUGUUCAAAAUAGUGGCGCUUGCGUCUGAAUGUUUAUGUGGGAGUUGAUCUUCAGAUUCUCAUGUUGUUCCACUGUAGUGGACUCUGUAAAUAUUUCAAGGUUUUGACGAUCUCCGCGUAUCAGAUUUGCCGAUAUCCAUAUGGUCAAUAUCCAUGAUGUUGUUGAGAUGCUAUACAAAGAUAUUUGAACAACAACAGAAGGGUUCUGAAAAAUGUCAAGAUAUUGACUUCUCUUCAUGGUCUCUAUAUUCAAAGAGCAGUUGAUUGAAUCUGAAACAACUUCUCUUCAUGAGUAGUUCCUGUAAAAAGAUACUCAUAUGCACGUAUCAGAUUCAAGACGAACCAAAGAAGAUUUUAUCAAUUUCAAAAUUUUAUUGAUAGGUUUUCUCAAUAGUAAUUGUUAAUCGUAUAGCAUGAUGGUCUCUACUCGUGUGAAUAAUAAUUGUAGGAAUAUCAAAUGAUGCUUCAAAUUCUUAUCCAUUAUUGAUUACAUAUGGCCAAGUUGUUUAAACGCUAGUCUGUCACCCCACAUGUGAUCGUCUGAGUUCAGUAGUCGUAAAAGAUUGAUAUUUACUCGAAAUCUAACUGGGUUUUGCUUUCCUCAAACUUUUGCAGAAGUUGGUGGUGAAAAUGGAUAUAGGUGAUGAGGAAGCCAAGACAAAGGCCAAGCGAGUAGUUUGGCAUAUUGCAGUAUUGGCCCUCUCCCUGUCUGUUUUUUCCCUUCAUUCUCCACUGAAUGUUUAAAUCGUCACUGUGAUAGUAAUCAUCCUGUGCUCGAAAUGUUUGGCUUCGCUAACCUUUGUCACGUAAUGCUUUCCAGGAUUUGAGCGUCUGACUGUGGACACAGAGCUCAAUAAACUAACAGUAUCUGGCACUAUGGACCCGGUCAAGGUGGUGAACAAACUGACGAAACUGCACGCAGAAAUGGUGAGCUUCGGAGCAGCCAAGGAAGACGAUGGCAAGAAAGAAGGGGGAAAGAAGAACGAAGAUCAAGUCGCCAGUCAGGUAAAAGCCUCUCAAGCAUACUAUCCUGGACAGGCCAGUGCUCUUCGGCUCCUUGAUCUCCUUUUUUCACUCCUACACUUCGAACCUACCCGAUGAUCAUUCUCCAAUCAAUCCUAAAUGUGCAAAAAAGAUUGACUAUUCCCGAAGAUAAAUUUGGAAUCUCCGUUGAUUUUGUCGCCUAUACAAACGGAUCUCCAGUUUCCAGAAGUAGCGUUCUUCGGUUUAAGGAAAGUAGCUUGUGUUCAUAACGAUUAUCAAUCAGAAGCUUUCUUGCAAAACUGUCCUUAAGAUUGGCAAUUUAAUCAUCACUUUCUAUAUUUCAAAUCCUAGACAGAUUACUAGUUGCGUUGUUCAAAAUAGUGUCGCUUGCAUCUGAAUGUUUAUGUGGGCGUUGAUCUUCGGAUUCUGAUGUUGUUUCACUGUAGUGGACUCUGUAAAUAUUUCAAGGUUUUGAAUAUCUCCACGUAUGAGAUUUGCCGAUAUCCAUAUGGUCAAUAUCCAUGAUGUUGUUGAGAUGCUAUCCAAAGAUAUUGGAACAACAACAGAAGGGUUCUGAAAAAUGUCAAGAUAUUGACUUCUCUUCAUGGUCUCCAUAUUCAAAGAGCAGUUGAUUGAAUCUGAAACAACUUCUCUUCAUGAGUAGUUCCUGUAAGAUGAUACCGUUAUGCACGUAUCAGAUUCAAGACGAACCAAAGAAGAUUUUAUCAAUUUCAAAAUUUUAUUAAUAGGUUUUCUCAAUAGUAAUUGUUAAUCGUAUAGCAUGAUGGUCUCUACUCGUGUGAAUAAUAAUUGUAGGAAUAUCAAAUGAUGCUUCAAAUUCUUAUUCAUUAUUGCUUACAUAUGGCCAAGUUGUUUAAACGCUAGUCUCUCACACCACAUCUGAUCAUCUGAGUUCAGUAGUCAUAAAAGAUUGAUAUUUACUCGAAAUCUAACUGGGUUUUGCUUUCCUCAAACUUUUGCAUAAGUUGGUGGUGAAAGUGGAUCUAGGUGAUGAGGAAGACAGGACAAAGGCCAAGCGAGUAGUUUGGCAUAUUGCAGGUAUUGGCCCUCUCCCUGUCUGUUUUUUCCCUUCAUUCUCCCACUGAAUGUUUAAAUCGUCACUGUGAUAGUAAUCAUCCUGUGCUCGAAAUGUUGGGCUUCGCUAACCUUUGUCACGUAAUGCUUUCCAGGAUUUGAGCGUCUGACUGUGGACAAAAAGCACAGUAAACUAACAGUAUCUGGCACUAUGGACCCGGUCAAGGUGGUGAACAAACUGACGAAACUGCACGCAGAAAUGGUGAGCUUCGGAGCAGCCAAAGAAGACGAUGGCAAGAAAGAAGGGGGAAAGAAGAACGAAGAUCAAGUCGCCAGUCAGGUAAAAGCCUCUCAAGCAUACUAUCCUGGACAGGCCAGUGCUCUUCGGCUCCUUGAUCUCCUUUUUUCACUCCUACUCUUCGAACCUACCCGAUGAUCAUUCUCCAAUCAAUCCUAAAUGUGCAAAAAAGAUUGACUAUUCCCGAAGAUAAAUUUGGAAUCUCCGUUGAUUUUGUCGCCUAUACAAACGGAUCUCCAGUUUCCAGAAGUAGCGUUCUUCAAUUUAAGGAAAGUAGCUUGUGUUCAUAACGAUUAUCAAUCAGAAGCUUUCUUGCAAAACUGUCCUUCAGAUUGGCAAUUUAAUCAUCACUUUCUAUAUUUGAAAUCCUAGACAGAUUACUAGUUGUGUUGUUCAAAAUAGUGGCGCUUGCGUCUGAAUGUUUAUGUGGGCGUUGAUCUUCAGAUUCUGAUGUUGUUCCACUGUAGUGGACUCUGUAAAUAUUUCAAGGUUUUGACGAUCUCCGCAUAUCAGAUUUGCCGAUAUCCAUAUGGUCAAUAUCCAUGAUGUUGUUGAGAUGCUAUACAAAGAUAUUUGAACAACAACAGAAGGGUUCUGAAAAAUGUCAAGAUAUUGACUUCUCUUCAUGGUCUCUAUAUUCAAAGAGCAGUUGAUUGAAUCUGAAACAACUUCUCUUCAUGAGUAGUUCCUGUAAGAAGAUACUGUUAUGCACGUAUCAGAUUCAAGACGAACCAAAGAAGAUUUUAUCAAUUUCAAAAUUUUAUUGAUAGGUUUUCUCAAUAGUAAUUGUUAAUCGUAUAGCAUGAUGGUCUCUACUCGAGUGAAUAAUAAUUGUAGGAAUAUCAAAUGAUGCUUCAAAUUCUUAUCCAUUAUUGAUUACAUAUGGCCAAGUUGUUUAAACGCUAGUCUGUCACCCCACAUGUGAUCGUCUGAGUUCAGUAGUCGUAAAAGAUUGAUAUUUACUCGAAAUCUAACUGGGUUUUGCUUUCCUCAAACUUUUGCAGAAGUUGGUGGUGAAAAUGGAUAUAGGUGAUGAGGAAGCCAAGACAAAGGCCAAGCGAGUAGUUUGGCAUAUUGCAGGUAUUGGCCCUCUCCCUGUCUGUUUUUUCCCUUCAUUCUCCCACUGGAUGUUUAA